ACUUACAGAGUAUUAUUAUACAUUUGAUUUCCAAUUAAAAAUUCCAUUUAACAAUAUUGGUGUAAGUA
RNAcentral lists this transfer RNA (68 nucleotides) under Parapolybia flava. RNAcentral describes it as "tRNA-Gly". Lineage: Eukaryota; Metazoa; Arthropoda; Insecta; Hymenoptera; Vespidae. The record is from RNAcentral.